This 37-nucleotide transfer RNA is filed under the name Melanotaenia fluviatilis (Murray River rainbowfish). Its description in RNAcentral is "partial tRNA-Phe". The record is from RNAcentral. Lineage: Eukaryota; Metazoa; Chordata; Actinopteri; Atheriniformes; Melanotaeniidae.
AAGAUGUUAAAAUGGGCCCUAGAACGCUCCGCAAACA